ACUGAGGGAAUGAUGGGGAAUGAGCACAAUUUAAAGGGUGGCAUAGAACACAUUCACUUCUAUACGGAGCUAAAUGUUAUCCCUUUUCAGUUGUAGAUUUAGGAAGUACUGCAGUAAUCACCAUGCUACGUGCCCUGACUUAUUGUAGCAGCAGAUGUGCGUCCCCAUUCACUGUCAUGUUUGAAAUGUUUUGACAGUGGGUGCAACUGCACGUAGUACUGAGACUUGCCCUGGUUGAUUCGAUCAACUGCACGUAGUACUGAGACUUGCCCUGGUUGAUUCGAUCUGUAUUGUUGUCUAGGUUUUCAUGAGUCAGACUGGAUAGCAGAUCACGAAAUAAAUACACAUUCAGUGAUUUUAAUAGCUGGUCUGAUACCCUGGGCUGUUGCUCCUGUUAGCUGAAAAGUCCACUUACUCAGGGUUCUUCAUUGUGAGUGCCCCCCCUUACUUUCUACUUUAAUAAAAUCCAUCCAAAUUAUGGUUACCCAACAACUUGGGAGACAAGAAUCACAUUACAGUACAGUUUAAAGAAAGUUAUAAAUGUAGCAAUAUUCUCUAUAGUAUGAAAGCAAAGUUUAGUUUUGAAACAAAAAGCAUUAUUUGUUGCCAUAUUAUGUUUUAUAACGUUUGAAACAGUAAAGCUGAAAGGUUACUUGUUAUAGUCAAAUUAUUUUCUCCCUUCCAAAUCAAUGGGAGGAAAAAAAUGCUAUUUUGGCAAGAAAAUGCUCCUAGUGAGCAAUAUGCUCUGGUGGGGUUGGCCAUGUUUUAGAGAAACAUGUGCACGUAAUAGCGAUCUGGGACACUCCUACUCAUUUGUGUGCAUCUCCGGUGGGGAUAUGUAAUUAAAAAAGUUUUUAUUUAAUGCAGUCUUUUUUUAUAGAUAGAAAAGCGUGGUUAAUACAGUUACAGAUAAUACAAUUAUGGGCUAUUCUGCUUUGGCCCAAUCCAUAAACAUAGCGUAUGUGGCAUCUUCUAAUAUAAUCGCAGAAGAUUUGGCAGCAUUUAAUAGGUGCAUAUAAAACAACACCACCACCACCCUAAAAGUUAUGUUUUCAUUAGAAAUAAUUGAAGCCACUCAUACUUUUUUACAUUUCAGUUUAAAAAUUUAUUUUUAUGUUACGUUUCUACCCUAAAGCACGUAUUUUGUAGCAGUGCAUUUAGGAUAAAAUACUUCAAAGAAGAGUGAAUGCGCGUGAUCUUCUUCUUUCCUUCAAAAUGCCAGGGCCAACACAUGCCGCAAUCGAUUGAAAAGGCCACUUUUUUGCAUUUCACUCUACUGUGUAUGGGCACCCAGUGUGAAGAAAGAAGCAGGAAGAGGAUUGCUUACUUGCAUGUCCCCCAGGCUGCUGCAGUCUUCUGCAAACAGAAGCACUGGCCUAGUAUCAGGAAGUGAUUACAACCACUGGGGCAUCUCUAACAUUUGGCACUUUUCAGUGAUUGUACCUUUCCUUCUGCUUUAUACAGGAUGGGUGGAGUUUUGAAAAGACACUGUUUUGUUAACAAAUAAAUGCCUUCACUUAGA
This is a long non-coding RNA of Xenopus tropicalis (tropical clawed frog), 1522 nucleotides long. RefSeq lists it as uncharacterized. The transcript is spliced from 2 exons. The record is from RefSeq and is a predicted model, not a curated record. Lineage: Eukaryota; Metazoa; Chordata; Amphibia; Anura; Pipidae.